CAUAACCCAACUUUGAAUGGCAUUUCAGGAAUUACAAUUACUAUAGGCACUGUUAUUGGCAUUCAAUUGAAUUACUGAACAAAACCGCAUAUUAUGAGUUAUGGAACGAUAUUUACAGUUACAGGUGGUAACCAAAGAUAAGCAAAAUACUAUUUUUAAUUUUAUCUCAAGACGAAUGUAUGCGAGUGUCAGCGACCUAACGAAGUACAAAUAGGGAUCGCGGAUUCGGGAUGGCAGCACAAAGCAACGAAUAUUUAAAAAAUACUACUUAGUUCACUUUUCUUACACCAUGGCGUGCAAACGCACCCAUAAACGAAGAUUUUCUUGUUUUCGCAAACUGUAUUGAAAAGAUAGGAAGACUCAUUGUCCAGUGUAACGCGUCCUCUUACAAAUAAAAACAAAUUCGGCGAAAAAAAUCGAUUAUUAUAAGGCCAGUAACGCACUAGGCAGCCAUAAAACUGCGGGGGCUAAUCCCACACACUAUUGUUUAUUCGAGCCCGCCUAGACAGCUGAAAAUCGUGUGUGGCUGCCGCAGUGAGGCUGCCUAGUGCGCUACUGGCCUUAUUCUGCACGCUGACCAAUUAAAUUGGAAUCAACCAUUAUAACUCAUAAGGCAUAACAUAACACAGGUGAAGAAGUAUAAUAAUCAAGUUUUGACCGUAUGAAUGUCGCCCCAACUUUUCAUGGACUACUUGAUUUCGUUGAGAAACUUGAGUUACCUCAAAACCGGCGGUGACCUUCAGUUGCGUUUUACCAUAUUGUUUUCAAUUAUGUUGUUCAAUCUUUUAUAUUGAAAUAUAAUAUAAAUAUACAGGGUAAGUAAACGUUGUGAAGCACGUUUUUAAAUAAUUGG
Long non-coding RNA from Photinus pyralis (common eastern firefly), 853 nucleotides. RefSeq lists it as uncharacterized. NCBI's taxonomy places the organism in Eukaryota, Metazoa, Arthropoda, Insecta, Coleoptera, Lampyridae. The record is from RefSeq and is a predicted model, not a curated record. The transcript is spliced from 3 exons.